Molecule: ribosomal RNA, 446 nt
Filed under: uncultured soil bacterium
Lineage: Bacteria
Description: bacterial SSU rRNA
Rfam family: Bacterial small subunit ribosomal RNA
Source: RNAcentral
AGAACGAACGCUGGCGGCAUGCCUAAUACAUGCAAGCCGAACGAACUCUUCGGAGUUAGUGGCGCACGGGUGCGUAACGCGUGGGAAUCUGCCCCUUGGUUCGGAAUAACAGUUGGAAACGACUGCUAAUACCGGAUGAUGACGAAAGUCCAAAGAUUUAUCGCCAAGGGAUGAGCCCGCGUAGGAUUAGCUAGUUGGUGAGGUAAAGGCUCACCAAGGCAACGAUCCUUAGCUGGUCUGAGAGGAUGAUCAGCCAUACUGGGACUGAGACACGGCCCAGACUCCUACGGGAGGCAGCAGUAGGGAAUAUGGACAAUGGGCGAAAGCCUGAUCCAGCAAUGCCGCGUGAGUGAUGAAGGCCUUAGGUUGUAAAGCUCUUUACCCGAGAUGAUAAUGACAGUAUCGGAAGAAUAACGCCCGGCUAACCGUCCGUGCCAGCACGCCGC